AUGGAGGGGCACCGAGGCAAGCAGGCAACGAGGCAGGGGCGACGGGUCCUGGUGGCCGGCAGGAGGGGUUCGAGAUGGCAGCAGCAAGACAAGGUGCGGCGGAGCGCCAUGGCACUGGCAGCGGCACCUGUGAGCAGAGGCGUCCGUAGGGCGGUAGAGCAGCAGCGACAAAGGCGGACGUGGAGGAGAAAGGAGGGCACGGGCAGGGAGGCCCUGGUGGUGCAGGGACGAAGCAGCAGGGCGUUGGCGCAGGUCGUUGCCGGUGAAGGGGCAUGGCGCAGCGACGAGGAGGUAGUGGAGGCGGGGCAUGUCGCUGAACCGGUGGCCUGGUUGCUGCUGGUUCGGUCGCCGGCGGCGGCGGCUUGUCGAGGUGGCCGGGUGGCGGCGACGGGAAGAGCAGCUGCAGCAGAGCGUGGAAGGAGCAGAAACAGAGGAAGGGGGGCCGCGCGAAGGGCGUCGGCGGGAAGAAGGUGCGGGCGCAUGGAGCUCUCGCUCCUCUUUGUCUGUGGGUGA
This 513-nucleotide ribosomal RNA is filed under the name Triticum aestivum (bread wheat). RNAcentral describes it as "partial small subunit ribosomal RNA". The record is from RNAcentral. Lineage: Eukaryota; Viridiplantae; Streptophyta; Magnoliopsida; Poales; Poaceae.